AGGUCGCACUGUCUUUCCCAAUCCCAAACCAGAAAGCAAGUAAAACUUGGUAAAAGAAGAAAUUCCCACAAUCUGUUUCAGCUUGCUCUCUCUCUCUCUCUCUCUCUCUGAUGGCGAUACCCGUUUACUCUUUCUGGUUUUAUUUUAGUGGUGGUGUUGUUGCCUUUUCGAUCUGGCUGCUCUGACUGGUUUCAUUUGGCCGCGAUUCCAAACUUGGAGUAAAUGAUAAAACAAAAGGCUUUUGUUUUGCCACCAAAACUCGGAAAUUCGACAUCAAAUUUCUCUAGAAGUUCUCCGAGAAUCAAUAUGCAUGGAGAAUUUACUUUGCUGGCCUCAAUGUUAUUUUAUCAUGGACCAAGGAAGAGUCACAACACCUAGUAUUGUGGGAUUCUCGGUGUCUUGAAAAUUCAAAUCAAGGUUAACUGAAGAAGGCUUAUAAAGGAACUGCUAUAAUGAGUCAUCCUACAAAUGUGA
Molecule: long non-coding RNA, 474 nt
Organism: Pistacia vera
Lineage: Eukaryota; Viridiplantae; Streptophyta; Magnoliopsida; Sapindales; Anacardiaceae
Exons: 3
Source: RefSeq, a predicted model, not a curated record